GAGGCUUCCAUUUGAUGGAAAAGACAAAUGGGCCCCUACUUUCUAUGUGGGCCUCUAUGUCUCUGACUCAGAUCCAGCCACAUGCCAGAAGAGAAAGGGGGUGAAGCAGAGACCCGCACAGGGGAGCUAGAGGAAUAAACAGCCCAGGAAGAGCUGGUCACCUUUUCAUUUUAAGAGUUAAAGAGAACAGAGAAGAAGAAGAAAAGAGUCAGGCAAUGGAAUAGCAGGUGCAGCCAAAAGCGUGCCUGCCUCAGAGAGAGUCCAUUAGGGGCCAAGACACCGAGCAGGGACAAUGCGGCUGAGACAAUGGAAGCAGCUGAAAAGCCCUGGAAAUUGGGUGUGCAGACUCCCGCUUCUGGGAUGUCUUAACAGAUUAAUAAGGCUUUUGAGGAUUUCUAGAAACAUUUAUAUGAGUCAGAGCCCUAAGAGGGGCCAAUGUGGGGUUCUUUGAAGCUUCUCUUUUAGCAGCUUGAAACAGCAGAUGUCUCUGCACCCAGCAAGGAGGGGUGAGGCCUGGGCAAGCCGGGAAAAGCUAUUGUGUCUCUAGAAAAUGGGAGCCCACAAGGGGACUUUAUAACAGCCAUUGAAGUCAGAAGGCAGGCACAUUUCUUAGUUUGGGAACAAUUAUCUGGCCAAACAAUGGGAGGGAGGCAGCCACUGCUCAGGCACAAAAACCACGUGAUCUUCAGACUGGGGUUGAGAACAUUCUAGGAAGCCUAAGAGUGAGCCCUACAGGUCAGAAGUAACGCUUGCAAGACAAAGCCAGAAUUAUUAUUCCCACUGCAGAGGUAAGGAAACCGAAGCCCAGAAAAAUUAAGUGACUUGCCCAAAGUCCCUCAGGAGUGAAUGACAGAGUGGGCAAUCAAUGUGUAUCAGUUUGGCAUUCAACUGGCUGUAGCAGAGAUCCAAAGUAAGUGGCAUAAGCAAAUUAGGGGUUUGCUUUUCUCUCACAUAAAAUGAAGACCAGGAGUAGAUGGGAAGCCCAUCCUUAGCACUGGCUUCCAUUCUUGGGUCAUACCUCAUGGUCAUAAAAUGGCUGCUGAAGCUCCAGUCAUCAGCCCCACAUUUCAGGCAGGAAGAAGAAACAAGAGGAAAGGACAAAAGAGAUGCACCUCCCAGGUGAAUCAGCCAUGUUUAAAGAAGCCUACCAGUGAUCUCUGAAUAUUCGCAUUAAUCACCUCUAGCUUCUUAAGAAAGUCACUGAACGCUUCACCACUCAGAAAGUCCCGCUCUUCAGACAUUGGCGUGAGCCAAGAACUCCGGGAAAAUAUUCUUGCGCCUGCUCAUUAGCUAUUGGCUGGUCCAAAUCUCUUCUCUAGGAGGUGUGGUCCACUCUGCUCAAAUUACCUCAAGUCUCUACUUCUUUUAGGGGUAUAAGCCAGGCACAGGUCUUUGCUCUCACUGUACAAUCCUCAUAGGAUGCUAUGGGUGACUUAAGUGGCUGCUGUGCUCUGUUUUAGACAGAACUGUACUUCCAAAUGAUACAGUACUGAUCAAGGUAGGUAGAAAAGUGAAGACAGGAAUGGGUGCAGAGGAUGGUGACCAAUUGCAUACAUUUUUGUUAAUUCCCCAGCCAUCAGGGGUAAGUUGCCACAUUCUGCCCCAUUGCUAUCAACUUUUAUUCCAUGUCAGGGACCACAAGGGCUCCGUUUUUCACUGGCACAGCAAACAAGAGGCUCCACAAUCCUCUGUCGGGGAAGGCACUCGAGAGAACCUUGGGACCACUUGCCCUUUGAGACCGAAAUAGUUUGGAGCUCCAAGUGGGAACUGUGAAGCUGACGGCAAAAGAAUGUGACAGGGUUGUUCUUCCCACCAGCUUCCUCUUUCCCUGUUUCCAAAUUUCUUCCUGUGACAUUUCAAGUUACAAGGCUCCCAUCUCAGAACUUUGACUUUGAAUGUCUUUUCAUAUUGGCCUUAAAGAAGAUGGUGUCGUCAGUGACCUUUUUAAAAGACCACGGGGACUUAAUUAAAAACUAAACUUGGCCACUUAAUUCAGAUGGUCCUGUCGACUCCUCGGCACUGAUGUGAACUCAGCCUUGUCAGCUUGCAGCGGGCUACUGGCACUGCCCUUUGGUGUCCCGACAUUGCGGAGCUGCAGAGUGACAGGCGGGCUCUGGCCCAGGCUCCAGGACCAGCGAGGCUGCUCUUGACAGAGAGGGCCCCCUGCCACGGAGAGCCAAGGGCUCUGAUUGGGUGGGUAGUUCUGGGUAACUCGUGCUGGGAACGGCCCUCCAAAGGGAGAGAAUGGAGACACAGGGAUUUUGGUGAUGGCUAGUGUAAAUCAAGGGAAUUUCUGAGAGGUCUGUCUGGCUACCACACUCCAAAAUUCUCCUAGGUCCCUGUUUUCCUCUGAGUGACUUUGUAAAGAGACUAGAGCCCAUAUAAUGCCCCAUCCUGCUUCCUCCU
RNAcentral lists this long non-coding RNA (2406 nucleotides) under Pan troglodytes (chimpanzee). RNAcentral's name for it is "long non-coding RNA NONPTRT003244". Lineage: Eukaryota; Metazoa; Chordata; Mammalia; Primates; Hominidae. The record is from RNAcentral.